RNAcentral lists this ribosomal RNA (465 nucleotides) under uncultured Sphingobacteriales bacterium. RNAcentral describes it as "bacterial SSU rRNA". It matches the Rfam family "Bacterial small subunit ribosomal RNA", at positions 916 to 1382 of the family's 1533-position model. The record is from RNAcentral. Lineage: Bacteria; Pseudomonadati; Bacteroidota; Sphingobacteriia; Sphingobacteriales.
GGGGCCCGCACAAGCGGAGGAACAUGUGGUUUAAUUCGAUGAUACGCGAGGAACCUUACCUGGGCUUAAAUGUAGAGUGCAUUUUUUAGAGAUAGAAAUUCCCUUCGGGGCUUUCUGCAAGGUGCUGCAUGGUUGUCGUCAGCUCGUGCCGUGAGGUGUCGGGUUAAGUCCCAUAACGAGCGCAACCCUUAUCGUUAGUUGCCAGCUGGUAAAGCAGGGGACUCUAGCGAAACUGCCACCGUAAGGUGAGAGGAAGUGGGGAUGACGUCAAAUCAGCACGGCCCUUAUGUCCAGGGCUACACACGUGUUACAAUGGCCGGCACAGAGGGCAGCUACCUGGUGACAGGAUGCUAAUCUCGAAAACCGGUCUCAGUUCGGAUCGAAGUCUGCAACUCGACUUCGUGAAGCUGGAUUCGCUAGUAAUCGCGCAUCAGCCAUGGCGCGGUGAAUACGUUCCCGGGCCUU